UGGUCAAGUUAUUAAGGGUGCAGGGCGGAUGCCUUGGCACUAGGAGCCGAUGAAGGACGUGAUAAGCUGCGAUAAGC
Molecule: ribosomal RNA, 77 nt
Filed under: Clostridioides difficile
Lineage: Bacteria; Bacillati; Bacillota; Clostridia; Peptostreptococcales; Peptostreptococcaceae
Description: partial 23S ribosomal RNA
Rfam family: Bacterial large subunit ribosomal RNA
Source: RNAcentral